AGUGGCGGACGGGUGAGUAACGCGUGAGAAUCUGCCUUGGGGUCGGGGACAACCACUGGAAACGGUGGCUAAUACCGGAUAAGCCGAUUGGUGAAAGAUUUAUUGCCCGAAGAGGAGCUCGCGUCUGAUUAGCUAGUUGGUGAGGUAAGAGCUCACCAAGGCAGCGAUCAGUAGCUGGUCUGAGAGGACGAUCAGCCACACUGGGACUGAGACACGGCCCAGACUCCUACGGGAGGCAGCAGUGGGGAAUUUUCCGCAAUGGGCGAAAGCCUGACGGAGCACACCGCGUGAGGGAGGAAGGCUCUUGGGUUGUAAACCUCUUUUCUCAGGGAAGAAGCUCUGACGGUACCUGAGGAAUCAGCCUCGGCUAACUCCGUGCCAGCAGCCGCGGUAAUACGGAGGAGGCAAGCGUUAUCCGGAAUUAUUGGGCGUAAAGCGUCCGCAGGUCGCGAUUCAAGUCUGCUGUCAAAGCACGGGGCUUAACUCCGUAAAGGCAGUGGAAACUGAAUAGCUAGAGUGCCGUAGGGGUAGAGGGAAUUCCCGGUGUAGCGGUGAAAUGCGUAGAGAUCGGGAAGAACAUCGGUGGCGAAAGCGCUCUACUGGACGGCAACUGACACUCAGGGACGAAAGCUAGGGGAGCGAAUGGGAUUAGAUACCCC
This 659-nucleotide ribosomal RNA is filed under the name uncultured bacterium. RNAcentral describes it as "bacterial SSU rRNA". It matches the Rfam family "Bacterial small subunit ribosomal RNA", at positions 94 to 788 of the family's 1533-position model. The record is from RNAcentral.